UCCACACUCCCUUCCUCCGGAAAUACUUGUCAUAGAAAUGUACAAAAUGGAUGUAUCUAUAAGUAAAAUAAGCCUAGAUACAUCUACUUCUAGAACAAGUAUUUCCGGACGGAGGGAGUACAAU
This is a non-coding RNA of Hordeum vulgare subsp. vulgare (domesticated barley), 124 nucleotides long. The record is from Rfam. Lineage: Eukaryota; Viridiplantae; Streptophyta; Magnoliopsida; Poales; Poaceae.